Mesocricetus auratus (golden hamster) is the source of this 787-nucleotide long non-coding RNA. RefSeq lists it as uncharacterized. NCBI's taxonomy places the organism in Eukaryota, Metazoa, Chordata, Mammalia, Rodentia, Cricetidae. The record is from RefSeq and is a predicted model, not a curated record. The transcript has 2 exons.
CAGUUCUCGGGGGAGCAAGAGCUUGGAACAUCAUUGGCAGACAUGGCUGAGUCUACCAGCGGCUUUUAAAAAAACACAAGGAUUUUAGUCUGUUGUUUGGUUGGCUGGUUGAUCUGGCUUGGUUUUUUAAUUGGCAGGAUGUAAACAGGAGUUCUCACUCAUCUGUUCCCCAAUAACCUGUAUUUCUCUGUUAGUGGGCAUCUCGGCUCUGAAGAAGCCACAGGAAGGCUGGCUUUCAAGAGUGCCUGUGCCUUGGAGGUGCCAAGGGCUCAGAGCUGGAGAGUUAACAGCACAGCCCAUGGCCCAUGUGUGCUGCCCUGAGGAGGGAAGCUUGGCCUGGGACCACUGAGCCACUACAGCCCCAGGAGCAAAAGCGGGAUGCAGUUUCCAAAGCAAGGAGCAGGGGCUGGGUGAUGUCUUGGACCUGGCCUUGGGUCUCCUACCUGACUCCACAUCUGGCAUGUCCUGGGUCCUCAGACACUCCCUCGUGCAAGAAGCUGCACCCCAGGAAAAGUCUGGAAGUUCUCUUGGGGUUUCACGAUGCCAGUGGCCAGUCCCGAGGCUACAGGGGACACCCACUACCCACCCAGCUUCCUAGAGGCUGCCAAUGGCACCAUCUGGGCACUCACGCCCCAGCUGAUACUUGCCGACUGGGAUUCCCCCAGGGAGAGAAGGUCCAUUUGGGGACACUGCAACCCUUUAGUACAGCUUCCCAUGCUGUGGUGACCCUCCCAACUGCUAAAUUAUUUCUGUUGCUACUUCAUAAACUCUAAUUUUGCUACUGUUA